This 289-nucleotide ribosomal RNA is filed under the name uncultured bacterium. Its description in RNAcentral is "partial 16S ribosomal RNA". It matches the Rfam family "Bacterial small subunit ribosomal RNA", at positions 8 to 290 of the family's 1533-position model. The record is from RNAcentral.
AGAGUUUGAUCCUGGCUCAGGAUAAACGCUGGCGGCGCACAUAAGACAUGCAAGUCGAACGGACUUAACCUUUAGUUUACUAAUGGAGCGGUUAGUGGCGGACUGGUGAGUAACGCGUGAGGAACCUGCCUUCCAGAGGGGGACAACAGUUGGAAACGACUGCUAAUACCGCAUGAUAUAUUUGAGGGGCAUCCCUUGGAUAUCAAAGAUUUAUCGCUGGAAGAUGGCCUCGCGUCUGAUUAGCUAGUAGGCGGGGUAACGGCCCACCUAGGCGACGAUCAGUAGCCGG